UACGAGGGGUGCAAGCGUUGCUCGGAAUUAUUGGGCGUAAAGGGCAAGUAGGUGGUCUCAUUUGUCUGGGGUGAAAGCCUUGAGCUUAACUCAAGAAGUGCCCCGGAAACGGUGAGACUCGAGUAUUGGAGAGGGUCGUGGAAUUCCCGGUGUAGCGGUGAAAUUCGUAGAUAUUCGGAAGAACACCCGUGGCGAAGGCGGCUCUCUGGAACGCAACUGACGCUGAGACGCGAAAGCGUGGGGAGCAAACAGG
This 253-nucleotide ribosomal RNA is filed under the name uncultured bacterium. RNAcentral's name for it is "partial 16S ribosomal RNA". It matches the Rfam family "Bacterial small subunit ribosomal RNA", at positions 524 to 776 of the family's 1533-position model. The record is from RNAcentral.